AAAGGUUUAGUUAAAUCCAUAACAAUAGAUUGUCAUACUAAAAUUAUCAUUAGAUAACCUUUU
This 63-nucleotide transfer RNA is filed under the name Anallacta methanoides. RNAcentral describes it as "tRNA-Asp". Lineage: Eukaryota; Metazoa; Arthropoda; Insecta; Blattodea; Blattellidae. The record is from RNAcentral.